RNAcentral lists this ribosomal RNA (253 nucleotides) under uncultured bacterium. Its description in RNAcentral is "partial 16S ribosomal RNA". It matches the Rfam family "Bacterial small subunit ribosomal RNA", at positions 524 to 776 of the family's 1533-position model. The record is from RNAcentral.
UACGUAGGGGGCAAGCGUUGUCCGGAAUUACUGGGCGUAAAGCGUGCGCAGGCGGUUAUGUAAGACAGAGGUGAAAUCCCCGGGCUCAACCUGGGAACUGCCUUUGUGACUGCAUGACUAGAGUACGGCAGAGGGGGAUGGAAUUCCGCGUGUAGCAGUGAAAUGCGUAGAUAUGCGGAGGAACACCGAUGGCGAAGGCAAUCCCCUGGGCCUGUACUGACGAUCAUGCACGAAAGCGUGGGGAGCAAACAGG